RNAcentral lists this ribosomal RNA (506 nucleotides) under uncultured Glomus. Its description in RNAcentral is "SSU rRNA". It matches the Rfam family "Eukaryotic small subunit ribosomal RNA", at positions 569 to 1078 of the family's 1831-position model. Lineage: Eukaryota; Fungi; Glomeromycota; Glomeromycetes; Glomerales; Glomeraceae. The record is from RNAcentral.
AGCAGCCGCGGUAAUUCCAGCUCCAAUAGCGUAUAUUAAAGUUGCUGCAGUUAAAAAAGCUCGUAGUUGAAUUUCGGGACCAUCAUGUCGGUCGUGCCUCGGUACGUACUGGCAUUGUUGGUUUCUCCCUUCUGAAGAACCUCGAUGCCAUUAAUUUGGUGUCUUGGGGAAUCAGGACUGUUACUUUGAAAAAAAUUAGAGUGUUUAAAGCAGGCUCGCGCUUGAAUACAUUAGCAUGGAAUAAUGAAAUAGGACGUUUGAUUCUAUUUUGUUGGUUUCUAGGAUUGACGUAAUGAUUAAUAGGGAUAGUUGGGGGCAUUAGUAUUCGAUUGUCAGAGGUGAAAUUCUUGGAUUUUAUUGAAGACUAACUACUGCGAAAGCAUUUGCCAAGGAUGUUUUCAUUAAUCAAGAACGAAAGUUAGGGGAUCGAAGACGAUCAGAUACCGUCGUAGUCUUAACCAUAAACUAUGCCGACUAGGGAUCGGAUGAUGUUAAUUUUUAAUGUA